RNAcentral lists this unclassified non-coding RNA (253 nucleotides) under Hevea brasiliensis (rubber tree). The record is from RNAcentral. Lineage: Eukaryota; Viridiplantae; Streptophyta; Magnoliopsida; Malpighiales; Euphorbiaceae.
CUGAUGAAGCAGGACGGCAAACUCAAUGUUGUGGUCCUCAUUGCCAAUGGAGAUCGCUUGAAGGAGGUAGUGCUCGAGCCGUCCAAAGUCAGAAGGGGAAAGUCAGCACACCAUUAGACGGGCCGACAGCCGCCAACNNNNNNGCGGGCGCCUUCGCCUCGGUUCGACUCUCCGCUCUCGCCAUGGCGUUUGAGAUCAUCAAGCCCUUAGCUGCUGUCUUACAAUUCCUUCUUCUGAGUCAAUCCGAUUUGAA